AUGGUAGACGAGCCUAAGAAAGGUUUUCCGUCCUGGUCUCAAAUAUGGGUAGACAAAGGUUUUGCUGGAGGGUUGUCCAUGUCAAAACAUGCUUCUUUGACACGGAGAGCUCUAAACGUACCUUUCAAAACCCUAUCAUCUCUUAACUGCGGCACUAGGAGAGGGUUUCUGAAGGUUGCUAGAACCGUUAUAUUUGGUGGCGCUGGUAUGGCGGAAGAAGUUCAUCGCCAAGCUAGGGAGGUUGGCGAUGUGUGUUCCAUAACUUAUCCCUUUCCCAAAGAAGAGGUUCAACAACAUGGUCUUGUACAAGAUGGAUGCAAAAUGGAUGCCUCGGCUGUACUAUACACCAGUGUCAAAUCAGCUCAUACUUCUGUUGCAAUGUUACACCAGAAGGAGAUAAAAGGAGGAAUUGUUUGGGCACGUCAGCUGGGUGGGGAGGGUUCCAAGACUCGGAAGUGGAAGCUCAUUGUCAGAAAUCUUCCUUUCAUGGCGAAGGUCAGUGAUAUUAAAGAUAUGUUUUCAUCUGCGGGAUUUGUUUGGGAUGUUUAUAUACCACAGAAUUCUGCUUUAUUUUCAUUCCUGUUGUCUAAAGGUUUUGCUUUCGUCAAAUAUACACGCAAACAAGAUGCGGAAAAUGCAAUACAAAAGUUCAAUGGACAAAAACUUCUUAAAAGACCAAUAGCUGUCGACUGGGCUGUUCCAAAGCAGAUAUAUGGUAGUGGCAAUGACGCUCUUGCUUCAGAAGAUGGUAUUAUACUCAAAGCAUGCAAUGAAAACACUGGUUUUACAGGAGAAAAGGGUGGAAGAGAUGGGGGAAAUGAUAGCAGCAGCGAUGAUUUCGAGGGUGACGCUGGAGAUACAUAUGAAACGCCCCAGCACCUUGAUAGGAUUGGCGCUGCUCCAGAUGACUCCAAUACAGCAGAGAUGAAAGACAUCCCUACUGAAAUUGAUUUUGAGGAGGAAGCAGAUAUAUCAAGAAAAGUUCUAAAAAACUUGACCACUUCCUCUUGUACUGUAACAUUGAUGAUAUCUGAAAUUGAUUUUGAGGAGGAAGCAGAUAUAUCAAGAAAAGUUCUAAAAAACUUGACCACUUCCUCUUGUACUGUAACUACUGAUGAUAUGGGUGUUGAUAAUUCUGCAUUUCCCAAAGGGAACAAGGAGCCAACUAUUGAUUUUGGGGAGGAAGCAGACAUUGCUAGAAAAGUUCUAAAAAAGUUUACCACGGCCUCUGGUACAGUAACUGCUGUUGAUGAUUCAUUGCCGAAAAGUAAAAAGGAGCCAACUAUUGAAGAAUCUGUUAAUGAGCCUAGUAAAUUACCUUCUGAGACUGCGCCUAAUAACUUAUCUUCUGAAAGUGCCAGUGCAUCAGAUGCUGCUAAACCACAAACAGAAGAAGAAGAUGAUUUGCAUAGAACAAUUUUCAUCAGCAACCUUCCUUUUGAGAUCACUUAUGAAGAAGUCAAACAAAGGUUUUCUGCUUUUCGGCAAGUGCAAUCUUUUGUCCCAGUUCUUCAUCCACUUACCAAGCGACCAAAAGGAACAGGCUUUCUCAAGUUUAAGACUAUAGAUGCAGUGACCUCUGCGGUUUCAGCUGGUAGUGCUGCAUCUGGCUUGGGAAUUUUUCUCAAGGGUAGACAACUGACAGUCUUCCAGGCUUUGGAUAGAAAAUCGAGACGGAAGAAAAUAUGGCCAAAAAGGAGGACAUAGACCACCGCAAUCUCUAUUUGGCAAAGGAAGGUCUUAUUCUUGCGGGAACUCCAGCUGCAGAAGGGGUUUCAGCUACUGAUAUGUCAAAACGCCAAAUGUUGGAGAGGAGCAAGGCCAUGAAGCUUAAAUCUCCAAACUUUCAUGUUUCGAAGACGAGAUUAGUUAUGUACAAUUUGCCAAAGUCCAUGACUGAAAAACAGCUUAAAAAACUUUGUAUUGAUGCGGUUACCUCACGAGCUAAGCUACAAAAAUCUGUGAUUCGACAGAUAAAGUGCUUGAAGGAUGUGAAAAAGGGAAAGAUUGUCACAAAGAACCACUCACGCGGUGUUGCUUUCAUUGAGUUUACAGAACAUCAGCAUGCCCUUGUGGCUUUGAGAGUUCUUAACAACAAUCCUGAAACUUUUGGCUCAGAACACCGGCCAAUAGUGGAGUUUGCACUUGAUAAUGUUCAGAAAUUGAGAGCACGUCAGGUUUCACAACAAACACAGCAGCAUGCCGCUAAUGGUAAUCAGAAAGAGGUUCAUAGGAGAUCACGAGAAUACAAGAUUGAGGAGGUAACUGGACCUCGCUGGAUACUCGAGAUGGUGGGUACCGAUGCAGUUGAUCCAAAGAACCGGCACAAGAGAAAGCUUGAGACAGAGAGCUUGCUUGAAUCAAGCAAAGUCAUAUCAGUCAUGACAUGA
This is an RNA transcript of Fragaria vesca subsp. vesca, 2390 nucleotides long. RefSeq lists it as uncharacterized. The record is from RefSeq and is a predicted model, not a curated record. Lineage: Eukaryota; Viridiplantae; Streptophyta; Magnoliopsida; Rosales; Rosaceae. The transcript is spliced from 16 exons.